UACGUAGGGUGCGAGCGUUGUUCGGAUUUACUGGGCGUAAAGGGCGCGUAGGCGGCAAUUCAAGUCAUCUGUGAAAUCUCCGGGCUUAACUCGGAACGGUCAGAUGAUACUGCUUUGCUAGAGUGCAGAAGGGGCAAUCGGAAUUCUCGGUGUAGCGGUGAAAUGCGUAGAUAUCGAGAGGAACACCAGAGGUGAAGACGGGUUGCUGGGCUGACACUGACGCUGAGGCGCGAAAGCCAGGGGAGCAAACGGG
This 253-nucleotide ribosomal RNA is filed under the name uncultured bacterium. Its description in RNAcentral is "partial 16S ribosomal RNA". It matches the Rfam family "Bacterial small subunit ribosomal RNA", at positions 524 to 776 of the family's 1533-position model. The record is from RNAcentral.